Molecule: ribosomal RNA, 288 nt
Filed under: Desmocerus californicus californicus
Lineage: Eukaryota; Metazoa; Arthropoda; Insecta; Coleoptera; Cerambycidae
Description: partial small subunit ribosomal RNA
Source: RNAcentral
GGCGGUAUUUUAGUCUAUUCAGAGGAAUCUGUCCUAUAAUUGAUAAUCCACGAUUUAAUUUACUUUUAGAAAAAAUUUAUAUAUCGUCGUAGUUUGAAUAUUUUAAAAGAAUUUUAAUGUUCAAAAUUUUUUUAUAAAAUUAAAUCAGAUCAAGGUGUAGUUUAUAUAAAAGAAGAGAUGGAUUACAUUAAAUUUAUUUAAAGAUUAAUUUUUGUAAAAUUUUAUGAAUAUGGAUUUGAUAGUAAUUUUUUUAAAAUUUUUAAAAUGAUUUAAGCUCUAAAAUAUGUA